GCGGGGAGUGUGCUGCCCCUUUAAGGCAGGCAUGAUAAUUUGGGUGUGUGUUUUUUGUACCAGCAGACUUGCCAUAGUACCUCGCCAGUGAAAAAUAGUCCUUUAGCCAAACUGUUGUCUGUUCCACUUUUUGUUCACUUUUUCUUGCUGAGCCUGAGAGAGCACAUGCCUCUUCCACAGAGGCCAGCAGGUGGAUGAGGGAAAGGGGAGGCAGGAGGAGGACAGACCCGAGGCGGCCGCCAGUCCGAGUGUCAGCUGAACUGAACUUCAGUCAGUUACAACAGAGGUUCCCAUUGCGGGGGGGCGUGGUAUGAAAAGAAAAAAAAAAAAAAGAGCGCUUGGACACUGUGGACAGGUUUUUGACGGGGCUCCCACAUAAACGCAAAGCAGGAGAUGAAGCAUCGCCAAAUAUGUUUCCAAACCAACUUCCUUCCAAGCCAAAGACAGGAAAAUAUGGUGAAGCAUAUCUUCACUUUGGCUUCACCUGCACAAGUGCCAAGGUAGGUCUCCCCUGCAAAAUUAGUUUCCCUGCGUCGGGAGCACGCGCUGGGCUCUCCAAAUCACGGACAAACAGUAUCCCACAUUCUUGAUUUUUAGUUCACAAACACUUCUUGUAAUAACUAACUACUCCUGACAUUUUGGAC
Oreochromis aureus is the source of this 644-nucleotide long non-coding RNA. The record is from Ensembl. Lineage: Eukaryota; Metazoa; Chordata; Actinopteri; Cichliformes; Cichlidae.